Molecule: ribosomal RNA, 468 nt
Filed under: uncultured bacterium
Lineage: Bacteria
Description: partial 16S ribosomal RNA
Rfam family: Bacterial small subunit ribosomal RNA
Source: RNAcentral
GACGAACGCUGGCGGCGUGCUUAACACAUGCAAGUCGAACGGAAAGGCCCUGCUUUUGUGGGGUGCUCGAGUGGCGAACGGGUGAGUAACACGUGAGUAACCUGCCCUUGACUUUGGGAUAACUUCAGGAAACUGGGGCUAAUACCGGAUAGGAGCUCCUGCUGCAUGGUGGGGGUUGGAAAGUUUCGGCGGUUGGGGAUGGACUCGCGGCUUAUCAGCUUGUUGGUGGGGUAGUGGCUUACCAAGGCUUUGACGGGUAGCCGGCAUGAGAGGGUGACCGGCCACAUUGGGACUGAGAUACGGCCCAGACUCCUACGGGAGGCAGCAGUGGGGAAUAUUGCACAAUGGGCGGAAGCCUGAUGCAGCAACGCUGCGUGCGGGAUGACGGCCUUCGGGUUGUAAACCGCUUUCGCCUGUGACGAAGCGUGAGUGACGGUAAUGGGUAAAGAAGCACCGGCUAACUACGUG